GUUUUAUAGCUUUUCAGAAAACAUGGAAAACGAGGCUGGAGGGCUUCAUAAGAUGCUUGUGGGCCUAUACGUUCGCUUUAAAGGCAUAGCAGCCAGUAUCAGAAUUGGGAUCCAAUCCGGUUUUUCAAACAAGCCAGUAGGAGCUGUGCGGACAAGAGGAAGAAAGUCAUGUGUGUUGAGGGUGUUGCACUGUGCCAGGCAUUUUGUAAUUUGGUGGAAGCAUGCUUUGGGCAUUAUCCCCUUAGAGACCAAGAUUCCUAAAUAGUCAUAGAAGGAGUCAGUUGCAAGAUAAAUACGCAAAGGAACAUAAGGUUAAGCGUGGUGCUGAUCUGGGAAGGCGUAGAGAUUCUUGGUGUAUAAGAAAAUAUACAAAUUCCAAAGGCUGUAACUUUGACAUUAUGAAUGAAAACAACAAAAACAAACCAGGAAACCCAAAAACUAUGUAGGAAAGUAACAUUUGAUGAGGAGAACAAGUUCUGGAAAAGCCCAAUCUUUAGAAGAAAAACUGAGGGGCUGGAGAGAUGGCUCAGCAUUAUGAGCACUGACUGCGCUUAGGUUAGGAGUUCAAAUCCCAACAACCACAUGGUGGCUCACAACCAUCUGUGAUGAGAUCUGAUGCCCUCUUCUGGUGUGUCUGAAGACAGCGACAGUGUACUUACAUAUAAUAAUAAAUACAUCUUUUAAAACAAAACAAAAAAAAACCUGAAGUAAAAUUCAUGGGGUGGUUAGAAAAGUUAGAAGUGGGAUCAAGGAAUCAGUGAGGGAGAGACAUGCUGCCUUAGACAGUGAAGUCAAAUUAAAGCAGGAAAGAUAACCUGAAACCCACAUUAUACCAGCAUACAGGAGCCUGAAGAUUGGAAGUUACAGGCCAGUCUGGACCGAGGUAAGACAGGCCAGCUAAUUAUGAGUAUGAACAUCUGUGACAUUAACUAGAAAAGGUUUCAAACCCUUAGAAACCAGAUUGCAGCAAUGAAGAAAUAUGGAAGCAAGAGAAUAUAAGUCAGACAACCCAAGAGGAAGGUGGAGCUCAGGAGUCCAGGACAGGGAGACAGCAAAGAAGGCAGAGGAGUUUGUUUGGGAAUGGUGGGACCUCUUCCUUAAACGGGGUGAAGGGAGAAAAGUUUCCAAGUGAGGAGUCUGACACAUGCCACCUGUGUGAAAAGGGAGUGGUGAGCAAGGCUACAUUUCAGAGUGUCUGAAGGACACAGAGAAGAGCAGAGAAGGGCAGUGGUGGAGUCGACUGGUCUGUGGGCUGUACAGUUGCCUGUAGUUUAGGUAGCAGAGGGUAAUGGUUAAAUUAACCUAAGCUGAGAUCCUGCAUGCCACAGGUAUGGGAAUAGAAUAAGGACAUGGUGGCAAAGUAUUAAAAGGUCUGUUAUUUAGGUUGGAUAGUGAAGCCAUAAAGGAACUAAUUAGAGUCUAAGCUCUUAAGACUUUCUCCCGAAGACAGCCGGAGGGUACCUCUAGAGCAGUGGCUCUCAACCUUCCUAACGCUGCCACCCUUUAAUACAGUUCCUCAUGUUAUGAUGACCCCAGCCAUGAAACGAUUUUUUGUUGCUCCUUCAUAAUGUAAUGUUGCUGCUGUUGUGAACUGUAAAUGUGUGUUUUCUGAUGGUCUUAGGUAACUCACAGAGAAGCACUGCUCUGAAGGUCUUUAGUGAGGCGUUAGGUCAGCCAGGUGAUACACAUUUGCUGGCACCCUGCCUUUGAGAAACUGGCAAAACCCACUAGGUUUUCAGAAGGACUUGUGAAACUGUCACUCAUCUUUUCUUUCUGUGGUAGUGGUACUGGGAUUGGAUUUAGCAAUGUAUGUGCUAGGCAAGCUCUACCAGACUUUCCUUUGAAAUGUCUUGAUGAGAUGCCUGGACUGGCUUUGAACUCACUAGGUAGCCUUGCCCUUCAAUUCUCUGUCACCAGUAGUGGGAAUUCCAGGCACACACCACACCAGGCUGCCACUAGCUUUCCGUACGGCAAUGAAGAACUAACAAGGGUGGUAAGUCAGGUGCUUAUUUAUUAAAUACAAGUUUUGAGCACCCUCCCCCACCCACCCCCACACACAGGCAAGUCUGACAAAAAGUAACUUUCCUGGAAUGUCUCAAAUACAGUUGUCUAUUGAGUUUGAUUUCAGUUUAACCUUUUUUGCUGUUUUGUUCUUCAUUUUCUGUCUCUAGCAUCAGUCUGGCUUGUCACAGUACCCAGUAGGCUUUGGCUUUGCCCAAUGGCUGCUUAGCAACCAGAACCAAAUAAAGUAAUGAAGCGUUUAGAGUGUGGUACUGAGCAGCAACUGGCACUUUCACCUGCACCGUUCGUUAUGCUACUUCUCAAGUGUCCCUCAAUUUUCACACACCCACGGAAAGCUAUAUUAAACAAACAAACAAACAACUGCCUGAACUCUAAACAAUUUUCCAAGUUUAGUAUUAGCCUCUUGGUGAGGUGUGAGCCGACUGAAGUCUUCACUUUCCUUUAGUACUCCAGCAAAGCCGUCAUGUAAAACUCGGUAGUCAGAAGUCUUAACAGAUUUACAGCCGCUGCAGAGUUCCAGACAAGACACCCUUUGACCUUUGCAAUGCACAUAUGCCUCUUAUUGUACCAGGAUGGAAGUCUUUAGAGUUUCUUUUUCUGGAUGCCUUUAAAUUAGUUCACAGAAAGAAAGAAGGCACAGAGGACACUUGGUUUCCUCACCACAGUGGCCUUAAGCUACACACGUGCUUUUGUGAUUAAAGGAGUUCAGCAGCUUGGGUGGCGUCACGGCCAUUCAUAGGAAAGUAUCAGAAGAGUUUAAAAACAAAACAAAACACAAGCUUGCCAAAACAGGCUUACAAUCUGACGGUUCAGUUCAGAAGCAGAAUACAGACACUGGAGGCAGCACGGAGCCCAUUCACUAGAAAGCUGCUGGCAACAGCUGUCUUCUCAAGGGUUUGUACCCAUCUUCCUCCAUUUUUCACUUGUGAAACUUGGGUCUUCCCUCUUUUUCAAAUAAGAGCGUAAAAGCAUCCUCCCGCAUUCACUCUGGAAAAGUAAGAGCAGCAGGUAGAAGCUUAUUUCAUAUGCAGUCCAUUCCCAGAGAGGGAGAGGAGAAUGCUGCAUACAGGAAAUGAAGUUCAUUUAAA
This is a long non-coding RNA of Mus musculus (house mouse), 3110 nucleotides long. RefSeq annotates it as predicted gene, 30934. NCBI's taxonomy places the organism in Eukaryota, Metazoa, Chordata, Mammalia, Rodentia, Muridae. The transcript has 2 exons. The record is from RefSeq and is a predicted model, not a curated record.